RNAcentral lists this ribosomal RNA (446 nucleotides) under uncultured bacterium. RNAcentral's name for it is "bacterial SSU rRNA". It matches the Rfam family "Bacterial small subunit ribosomal RNA", at positions 330 to 792 of the family's 1533-position model. The record is from RNAcentral.
GCCAGACUCCUACGGGAGGCAGCAGUGGGGGAUAUUGCACAAUGGGGGGAACCCUGAUGCAGCGACGCCGCGUGGGUGAAGAAGUAUUUCGGUAUGUAAAGCCCUCUCGGCAGGGAAGAAAUUGGACGGUACCUGACUAAGAAGCCCUGGCUAACUACGUGCCAGCAGCCGCGGUAAUACGUAGGUGGCAAGCGUUGUCCGGAUUUACUGGGUGUAAGGGGCGUGUAGCCGGGCCGGCAAGUCAGAUGUGAAAUCCCAAGGCUCAACCUUGGAACUGCAUUUGAAACUGUUGGUCUUGAGUAUCGGAGAGGCAGGCGGAAUUCCUAGUGUAGCGGUGAAAUGCGUAGAUAUUAGGAGGAACACCAGUGGCGAAGGCGGCCUGCUGGACGACAACUGACGGUGAGGCGCGAAAGCGUGGGGAGCAAACAGGAUUAGAUACCCUCGUA